GUAAGCUUUAAAUUGUCAUUGGAUCUGCAUAAUAAGAUAUGCAUAAUUCAAAAGAGAAAGAUGAUAUUCUUGUUUCGAUUCAGCAUUUUGUUUUCAUCCUUUUCUUCGUUUUUGUGUCUUUUUAUGGUCACUUCGUUCCUGUCACGUGAAGAAAAGAACCUAUCUGUUUGAUCCGUGGCUUAACAAAUCUGCAACCUCAAAUUCAAAUGUUACUGAAAACAAC
Molecule: long non-coding RNA, 223 nt
Filed under: Mytilus galloprovincialis (Mediterranean mussel)
Lineage: Eukaryota; Metazoa; Mollusca; Bivalvia; Mytilida; Mytilidae
Source: RNAcentral